RNAcentral lists this ribosomal RNA (198 nucleotides) under uncultured Lactococcus sp. RNAcentral describes it as "partial 16S ribosomal RNA". It matches the Rfam family "Bacterial small subunit ribosomal RNA", at positions 335 to 524 of the family's 1533-position model. The record is from RNAcentral. Lineage: Bacteria; Bacillati; Bacillota; Bacilli; Lactobacillales; Streptococcaceae.
ACUCCUACGGGAGGCAGCAGUAGGGAAUCUUCGGCAAUGGACGAAAGUCUGACCGAGCAACGCCGCGUGAGUGAAGAAGGUUUUCGGAUCGUAAAACUCUGUUGUUAGAGAAGAACGUUGCAUAGAGUGGAAAAUUAUGCAAGUGACGGUAUCUAACCAGAAAGGGACGGCUAACUACGUGCCAGCAGCCGCGGUAAU